GAUGAAGAACGCAGCGAAAUGCGAUAAGUAAUGUGAAUUGCAGAAUUCAGUGAAUCAUCGAAUCUUUGAACGCACAUUGCGCCCCCUGGUAUUCCAGGGGGCAUGCCUGUUCGAGCGUCAUUUCACCACUCAAGCCUCGCUUGGUAUUGGGCAACGCGGUCCGCCGCGUGCCUCAAAUCGACCGGCUGGGUCUUCUGUCCCCUAAGCGUUGUGGAAACUAUUCGCUAAAGGGUGUUCGGGAGGCUACGCCGUAAAACAACCCCAUUUCUAAGGUUGACCUCGGAUCAGGUAGGGAUACCCGCUGAACUUAAGCAUAUCAAUAAGCGGAGGA
Molecule: unclassified non-coding RNA, 331 nt
Filed under: soil metagenome
Description: partial contains 5.8S ribosomal RNA, internal transcribed spacer 2, and large subunit ribosomal RNA
Rfam family: 5.8S ribosomal RNA (bases 1-120)
Source: RNAcentral